CAUCAUAUGACGUUAAUAUUAGAUUAGAUUUAGGUCGCGACGUCAGGUAACCAAAAUUCAAUGUCAAGCCAACGUCUAAUGACAAUGUUAAAUUGACGUCCAAGACCAACAUCAGCUGACGAUGAUAUUUGGUUGUUUUUAGGUUGUGUUAUAAAGUAACCAAAAUCCAACGUCGAGCCAACGUCUCAAGCCAACGUCAUAUUGACAUCAAAUACUGAUAUUUAGUCGUCAGGUAUGGCAACCUAAAUCCAACAUCUAGUAGACGUCAUUAUGGUAACGUCCAAUCAACGUCAAGUUAUAACAUCAUUUGAUGUAGAUCUUCAGUUAGUUUUAGGUUGUGGCAUUAACUAACCAAAAUCCAACGUCGAGCCAACGUCUGAAGCCAACGUCACAUUGACAUCAAAAACUUAUGUUUUGUCGUCAGGUAUGGCAACCAUAAUCCAAC
Cyprinus carpio carpio is the source of this 445-nucleotide long non-coding RNA. The record is from Ensembl. NCBI's taxonomy places the organism in Eukaryota, Metazoa, Chordata, Actinopteri, Cypriniformes, Cyprinidae.